This 319-nucleotide ribosomal RNA is filed under the name uncultured eukaryote. Its description in RNAcentral is "partial 18S ribosomal RNA". It matches the Rfam family "Eukaryotic small subunit ribosomal RNA", at positions 1470 to 1796 of the family's 1831-position model. The record is from RNAcentral.
CCCUUAGAUGUUCUGGGCUGCACGCGUGCUACAAUGGCGUUUCCAGCAAGUCUGCGAACCCGAGAGGGCCAGCGGAUCUUCGAAUUGGCGUCGUGAUCGGGACAGUCGAUUGCAAUUAUUUGACUCAAACGAGGAAUUCCUUGUAAUCGCGAUUCAUCAUAUCGCGCUGAAUACGUCCCUGCCCUUUGUACACACCGCCCGUCGCUCCUACCGAUUGAGCGAUCCGGUAAAUGUUUUGGAUUGGUGCCGGGGCGGCUAGCUGCCGGUCGCUACGAAAUUUUGUGAACCUUAUCGCUUAGAGGAAGGAAAAGGCGUAACA